GCCAGGCGUGGUGGCGCAUGCCUGUAAUCCCAGCUACUCGGGAGGCUGAGGCAGGAGAAUCGCUUGAACCUGGGAGGCAGAGGUUGCAGUGAGCCGAGAUCAUGCCAUUGCAUUUCCAGCCUGGGUGACAGAGUGAAACUCUGUCUCAA
This 149-nucleotide non-coding RNA is filed under the name Gorilla gorilla gorilla (western lowland gorilla). Lineage: Eukaryota; Metazoa; Chordata; Mammalia; Primates; Hominidae. The record is from Rfam by way of RNAcentral.